Molecule: ribosomal RNA, 253 nt
Filed under: uncultured bacterium
Lineage: Bacteria
Description: partial 16S ribosomal RNA
Rfam family: Bacterial small subunit ribosomal RNA
Source: RNAcentral
UACAGGGGGGGCAAGCGUUGUUCGGAAUUACUGGGCGUAAAAGGCUCGUAGGCGGCCAACUAAGUCACACGUGAAAUCCCCAGGCUUAACCUGGGAACUGCGUGUGAUACUGGAUGGCUUGAAUUCGGGAGAGGGAUGCAGAAUUCCAGGUGUAGCGGUGAAAUGCGUAGAUAUCUGGAGGAACACCGGUGGCGAAGGCGGCAUCCUGGACCGAUACUGACGCUGAGGAGCGAAAGCCAGGGGAGCAAACGGG